Molecule: ribosomal RNA, 268 nt
Filed under: uncultured prokaryote
Description: partial 16S ribosomal RNA
Rfam family: Bacterial small subunit ribosomal RNA
Source: RNAcentral
GACGAAGGUGGCGAGCGUUGUUCGGUGUUACUGGGCUUAAAGAGUGCGUAGGCGGAAAGGUAAGCGUCUUGUGAAAUCCCUCGGCUUAACCGAGGAAUUGUUGGACGAACUACUUUUCUUGAGGCAAGUAGGGGUGCAUGGAACUCUUGGUGGAGCGGUGGAAUGCGUAGAUAUCAAGAGGAAGCCGGCGGUGAAAACGAUGCACUGGGCUUGUUCUGACGCUGAGGCACGAAAGCGUGGGGAGCGAACGGGAUUAGAUACCCGUGUA